This 456-nucleotide ribosomal RNA is filed under the name uncultured Methanosaeta sp. Its description in RNAcentral is "bacterial SSU rRNA". It matches the Rfam family "Archaeal small subunit ribosomal RNA", at positions 881 to 1338 of the family's 1478-position model. Lineage: Archaea; Methanobacteriati; Methanobacteriota; Methanomicrobia; Methanotrichales; Methanotrichaceae. The record is from RNAcentral.
ACAACGGUGGAGCUUGCGGUUUAAUUGGAUUCAACGCCGGAAAUCUUACCGGGACCGACAGCAAUAUGAAGGCCAGGCUGAAGACUUUGCCGGAUUAGCUGAGAGGUGGUGCAUGGCCGUCGUCAGUUCGUACUGUGAAGCAUCCUGUUAAGUCAGGCAACGAGCGAGACCCUCGCCCACAGUUGCCAGUGUACUCUCCGGAGUGACGGGUACACUGUGGGACCGCCGCUGCUAAAGCGGAGGAAGGAAUGGGCAACGGUAGGUCAGUAUGCCCCGAAUAUCCCGGGCUACACGCGAGCUACAAUGGUUGGUACAAUGGGUAUCUACCCCGAAAGGGGACGGGAAUCUCCUAAAACCAAUCUUAGUUCGGAUUGAGGGCUGCAACUCGCCCUCAUGAAGCUGGAAUCCGUAGUAAUCGCGUUUCAACAGAACGCGGUGAAUACGUCCCUGCUCCUU